This is a non-coding RNA of Corylus avellana, 1071 nucleotides long. The record is from RefSeq and is a predicted model, not a curated record. NCBI's taxonomy places the organism in Eukaryota, Viridiplantae, Streptophyta, Magnoliopsida, Fagales, Betulaceae.
AUUUCCCGCCACCAGAGAGAGUAGGGCAGACGGUUUUCAGUCACAAAUAUCUCAAAUUCACCAUAUCCAUCUCUGCUGCCACCUCUUUCCACAAGUCCUGAUUCAUAAUUUCAUAAUCCUUCGACGCAUUUCUCUCCCCUGCUCUUUUUCCUCUAAUUUCAUCACAUCAUUACCCGUUCGGACGUUGUAUAAGCAUAAACCCUAGAUCCAUUUGAUUCCACAGAGAUGGCCGGCCAAUCCGACCCCAACCUAUCACUCUUCUCUGCUGAAGAGGUCGAGUUCAUUGCAGAGGACGAGAUGGUCGAGAUAGUCCCCAAUCUCAGAAUGGAUGCUCUCAAUUUCAUCUGUGGGGAUUUUGGACCAUUUUUUCCACAAAUGGCAACUCAGGUGCCGCUGUGGCUAGCUGUGGCUUUGAAGAAGAGAGGGAAGUGCACCAUUCGACCUCCACUGUGGAUGUCAGUUGAAAAGUUGACGCAGGUUUUGGAAGCAGAACGGGAUUCUCAACGAGUGUUUGAGCAACUACCGUUUCAUUAUGUGGAAAUCUCAAGACUUCUUUUUGAUCAUGCACGUGAUGACAUUCCGGAUGUGUAUAUGGUGAGGUCUCUUGUUGAGGAUAUCAGGGAUGUGAGGUUUCAUAAAGUGGAGACUAAUUUAGAGACACUUAAUGAGCGUGCACUUGCUUUGAAGAUUAACAAUCUAUCUGCAAUGGAAGUAAAUAUAGUUCGCCCAUUUAUUGGGAGAGCUCUACAGGCAUUUUAUAAGCAUGAUAGUCCAGAGCUAAUACCAGAUCAAGAGAGAAUUUCUGAUAGACGGCCACAAGUAGCUAAUAAUGCAGCAAGACGGCAUCUGCGGCGAUAAUGUCAUCUUCUCUUUUCACCUUCCAUCUCAAUCAGAAACAACAAUUUCAACCAGCUAACUUGGAGGGCAGAUAGCAAUGGUUGUUGCGAUGGAACUUGGAAGUGCACAUCCAUCUCAGAGAGAUAGGAUGGCCAUAGAGAAAGAGGGACGAGAAAAAUGUGGAGGGCUCUUUUUGUCAAUGUCUCUAUUUUCGUCGGAAAAAAACAUAGGUAU